This 468-nucleotide long non-coding RNA is filed under the name Homo sapiens (human). RNAcentral's name for it is "SOX9 antisense RNA 1". Lineage: Eukaryota; Metazoa; Chordata; Mammalia; Primates; Hominidae. The record is from RNAcentral.
CGACAUUUCUUAUAGGAAAUGGAACUCUUCAUAAGUCUGGCCAUGGAGGCAUGGUAUCCGUAACAUCCCCCAAAGGAGCUAAAGAAGAAAUCCACAAUUUACCAUGAGCAUUUCUCGUCUGAAGAUUGCCAAGCGAUUCCUCCAGGACAUUCCUCAAGAUCAAUUUCUGUUCAUCCACCUUGUCCUGGGAGGGACAUCAAUGGGUUUCCAUGUCCUUUGGCUUCUGGUUGAGUUCACUCAGUGGAGAACCCUGGCAAGAGGCAGGAAAAGGGGAGGAAGGUGAAAACCAUCCAUUUCUUGGAGAAGUGCCACGGUGGGGUUGCAAGUCCCAGGAUCAAGUUUUCGAUGUGUCUCUUUUUCCCGUAAAGUGGCUGAAAUCUGAAGCUGAAUCUGCAAGUGUCAUGGAGUCAUUGAAUCUCACAGUCUCAACUGAUAAAAGUUAUUAAAGGUCGUCUGGUUCAGCCUUCU